This 244-nucleotide ribosomal RNA is filed under the name uncultured bacterium. Its description in RNAcentral is "partial small subunit ribosomal RNA". It matches the Rfam family "Bacterial small subunit ribosomal RNA", at positions 26 to 285 of the family's 1533-position model. The record is from RNAcentral.
AGAAUCAACGCUGGCGGCGUGCCUAACACAUGCAAGUCGAACGAGAAAGUGGAGCAAUCCAUGAGUGAAGUGGCGCACGGGUGAGUAACACGUGACUAACCUACCCUUGAGUGGGGGAUAACCUAGAGAAAUCUGGGCUAAUACCGCAUAAUACCUUCGGGUCAAAGGAGCAAUUCGCUUAAGGAGGGGUCGCGGCCGAUUAGUUAGUUGGCGGGGUAAUGGCCCACCAAGACUGUGAUCGGUA